AGCAUUAGGGGAGCCCACGGCUACAAAAACAAGUGAGUGAGAAGAGGUGGGAGGAAGAGAAACUACGCCACCUCCCCUGCAGCCGAGUGCACGCAGCAGCCUGGCGUGACAAGUGGGCGACGCCGGGGGGCAGGGAGCCGGGGUCCUUGGCCCUGGCCGGGGACCCCACCGCCCACCGCGCGGAGGACAACUUUUAGCCGGCAGCCCAGACCAGCGCGGCACCUGUCUCCGGAGUCUCCACCGCUCCUCCCGAUUCAUCCCAGGGAAAUUCUCAAGAAUACGCUCUACAAAUCUACGUGCGCAUCAUUUUCACCUCGCGUCGCGCCCGGGAGGAAGGAACGAGGCAAGGAGCUAAAGCAGCGUGCGUUCAGCCCUGGGGAGGAAAAUGGAAGAAACGGAGAUACUUUUAGUGAAGCAGAAUAAACCACUGAACAGGAAAAAUGAGGAAGCUGUGAGUACCAGUGGAAGGAACGAGCCAGGAAGAGGGACUGGAACCAUCUCAGAAGCCAUGCCCCUCAGGCUGGAACUUGCCCUGUCUCCUCGCAGAUGAGACAGACGUUUAAGUACGAGAAAGCUAAUGGCGCAGAUUCUGCUGACUGUGUGGCUCUCGUCUUAAUGCGUUUUCCAACCUUGAACCUGAGAAUGCCAGA
This 650-nucleotide long non-coding RNA is filed under the name Homo sapiens (human). RNAcentral describes it as "non-protein coding LINC-PINT:45". The record is from RNAcentral. Lineage: Eukaryota; Metazoa; Chordata; Mammalia; Primates; Hominidae.